RNAcentral lists this long non-coding RNA (2380 nucleotides) under Populus trichocarpa (black cottonwood). RNAcentral describes it as "long non-coding RNA (PTRI_LNC003228)". The record is from RNAcentral. Lineage: Eukaryota; Viridiplantae; Streptophyta; Magnoliopsida; Malpighiales; Salicaceae.
GUUUGCAGAAGAUUGCAGAAAGCUACAAAGACCAAAAGAAAGAAACGAUGAAGAGAGUCCAUGCUCCUGGAGUAACACAAACUCAAAACUUGAUACUAAAAUAUAAUAACCAGGUAAAGAAAAGGAGAAGUUAACAUAAUGAACACUCCCAGGGCUUAACUCUAGGUCAUGGUUUCCUUAACAAGCAUGAAUGGUCCUGGAAAAACUCAUUGCUCGAACAUCAUGCUCUUGGAAAGACAUAAAUUAGAAUCUUAAACCAGACACUCAAAAUCUUGAUGCAAGAUAAAAGGAAAAUACAAGCAAAGAAAGGAAAAGAAGUAGGUAAUGCUUCCUGGGUUGAAUGUAGUUCAAACAUGGUCCUUGAUAAAUUUAAAAGGAUCCUAGAAAAGUGUCCAACUAAAGGUCAAACACUAACAUAAAUGAUCGAAGCAAAAACUUAGGUCACUGCAAUUUUGUGACCAAAAGAAAGAAACGAUGAAGAGAGUCCAUGCUCCUGGAGUAACACAAACUCAAAACUUGAUACUAAAAUAUAAUAACCAGGUAAAGAAAAGGAGAAGUUAACAUAAUGAACACUCCCAGGGCUUAACUCUAGGUCAUGGUUUCCUUAACAAGCAUGAAUGGUCCUGGAAAAUAACACAAACGAGGAGAUAAAAGUUACUGUUUUGUAAAACCAAGAACAAAUUGUAGAUUAAAAUGUAAAAAAACAAUUAGAAGACACUGGGUGCAUUGUUCUUGAAAACAUCAUCAUCUAGAAACAUCUGCACAAAAUGAAAUAAAAUUAACAUAGAAAUAUUUUAAAAAAACGAGAGAAUAUAAAAAAUGGAUCCUAGUGGUAAAGCUUUGAAGCUGGUAGAACCAGUAACAAGAAACCACCUCCUUUAAGCAGCCCGCUAGGAAAAGGGUAAGGCAGCUCAAAAUGGAGGCUUGGCUUGAAACGACUGCGCCAAGUUAUAAUUCCUCGUUUACUUUGAGGGCAUUCCCUAUAAUGCUUGAUAGAUCCCUAAAAGAACACACGAUUACAAUUCUCACCCAACCUCUAUUAAAGUAGUAGAACUGGGUAAUGUACAAAUAUAGAAACUGAGUAAGUUACAAAUACAAAAUUAGAAAGAGGACAGCAGGUUCCAAAGCAUCAUGUAAUAAAAAAAAAACCCCAUCGUUCAACUCCAUGCUCCUGGAAAACACAUAAUUGGAAUCUUAGGCUAAACAAUCAAAAUUUAAUGCAAGACAGAAUAAUACAAGCUGAGGAAGGACAAGGGUAGUUAAUGGAAUAAAUACUCCCAAAAAAUUGCAGCCCAUAUAUGUUCCUUGAUAAAUUGCAAGGAUCCUAGAAAAACAAGUGGGAGAAGGUUAGACCUUAGUUAUGUUUUGGUAAAUUAAACUUGUUGACUAGAAUGAAACAUUUGUUUUGAUCUGCGAUCGGAAGCUGAAUCAGAAAAGCAAAGUAAGGAAAUACUUGGUGAUCUUGUGGAAAACAUAAUCAUCUAGAAAAUAUCUGCACAAAAUAAAACAAAUAAAAGGAUUGUUGAGAGAGAGCUGUCAGCAGUUGAAAAGGAUAUGGAGAUAAAAGAGCAAAGAAAACAGUCCUGUUGCUGAAGUUGGAAAUAGAGAUAAAACCACUGACAAAAGGCCAAGAAAACAUGCAAAACAAAAGGCCAACAUAAAAUUAUUGAUCAAAAUGAGAAAUCGAAGUUAAAGAUGCUUGGUCCAUAAGUGUUGAAAAGUGAUCAGCUAUAAAAAAUCUUGGCGGGGUGAAAAUGAAAAGAAGCAGCCCAAGCAACGCCGAGGUAAUUACGAAAUAUGCCAGCUCAAACAUUCCUUACAGCACUGAAAAAGCAGACGUCAUUUUCCAUUCGAAAACUAAAGGGGUCCUGGGAGCCACAAACAAACAGCAUCUAGGAUAAGUGGGUUAGGAAUGAGAAUUGUUGACUGCAAUCCAAAAUAAAGUAAGGGGACACCAUGCCCUGCUAUAUAAGCAUCAUGACCGCACAAGUGUUGAUUCCGAAAUAUGCCAGCCCAAACAUUCCUUAAAGCACUGAAAAAGCAGACUUCAUUUUUCAUUCGAAAACUAAAGGGGUCCUGGGAGCCACAAACAAACAGCAUCUAAAAUAAGUGGAGCAAACGAAUGAAAAUUGUUGACUGCAAGCCAGAAUUAAGUUAGGGGACACCAUGCCCUGCUAUAAGCAUCAUGACCGCACAAAUGAGGAGGAAGCCAUUUGCAAAAAAGACUAGUUAAAUUAAUUCAGAAUCGUGCAAACUGAAGAGGAAGUAAAGGAAGCAAACCAGCCAGACUACAUUUUCUCACAUCACUCGCCUUCCAGAACUGUCACAGGUUCCCAAAAAAUAUUAUAAAGUUAAGUGACACCAUGCCAGAUAUAAGCAU